GUGCUCUUUCAAUCUAGGAACCGCAGGUACGGACCAAUGGCACAAUACUUGUUCGAGCGAACAGUGGUAUGACGCUACGUCCGUUGGAUUAUGCCUGAACGCCUCUAAGGUCAUAUCCGUGCUGGACUGCAAUGAUAAAUAAGGGCAAUUUGCAUUGUAUGGCUUCUAAACCAAAAGUUUAUUAUUCAUUAAAUAGACGACAAUGGAUGUGUUGCCAAUGUUACGUAUAACAUAGUAAAUUGGGAGGAUCUUCGAUCACCUGAUGCCGCGCUAGUUAUAUAUCAAAACAUUAUUUAAUACAAUGACAAAGCCUAGAAUCAAUUGUAAACGACUUUUGUAACAGGCAAGGUGUUGUAAUUGGUUGAGCAGCUGCCAUACUGCGAUCCACUGAAGCUUAUCCUUUGCUUGAUGAUUCGA
This is a long non-coding RNA of Drosophila innubila, 417 nucleotides long. RefSeq lists it as uncharacterized. The record is from RefSeq and is a predicted model, not a curated record. The transcript is spliced from 3 exons. Lineage: Eukaryota; Metazoa; Arthropoda; Insecta; Diptera; Drosophilidae.